This is a microRNA precursor of Gossypium arboreum, 142 nucleotides long. It matches the Rfam family "MIR7504 microRNA precursor family". The record is from Rfam. NCBI's taxonomy places the organism in Eukaryota, Viridiplantae, Streptophyta, Magnoliopsida, Malvales, Malvaceae.
AAUAGUUUUAUGCCACAUCAGCACUCUUAUCCUGAAUCUCAGGAUUUUAUCCUGAAAAAAAUCAAAUCCAAAUUAAAAUACUAAAAUUCAAGAUAAAAUCCUGAAAUUCAGGAUAAGAAUCCUGAUGUGGCAUAAAACUAUU